Non-coding RNA from Triticum urartu, 614 nucleotides. Lineage: Eukaryota; Viridiplantae; Streptophyta; Magnoliopsida; Poales; Poaceae. The record is from RefSeq and is a predicted model, not a curated record.
AAGAUGUUGCCCUGGCACAUAUCCUUGCAUAUGAAGUUCCUUCGGCAAACGGAAGAUACUGUAUGGUUGAAAGAGUUGCUCACCACUCGGAGAUUGUCAAGAUCAUACACGAAAUGUACCCCAAUUUUCCAGUGCCAGACAAGUGUGCAGAUGACGCACCAUUUGUCCCUAUCUACCAGGUAUCGAAGGACAAGAUAAGAAGUUUGGGUAUGGAGCUGAUUCCCCUGGAGACGAGCCUCAAGGAGACUAUCGAGAGCUUGAGAGAGAAAGGAUUUGUUACUUCUGAGUCAAGCCAUCUAUGAAACCUUCUUUCCUUUGGCGUCACUGGAUGCAUACAUGUUUAUGUACACCUGAAAUAAAUGGAGGCAUAUUGUGCUCUAUGGAUCCGUUGUGUUCUCAUGGAUUCGAGGUUCAAGACGUUCCUCAGAAUGUGGGCAGCCAGGAGCACGCUUAGCAAAUAGAAAGACCCACUACUUAGUGUCGAUGACAUGCUGGUGGACUUCACUCUCUAGUGACAUAUAGUGUGUAUUUCUACAUGAGUUUAUAUGUAUACUAUACUCUAUAGAUAAUUUCUGAAAAUAAUCCAAUUGAGAAGGAAAUGUCUUAAGUGGAAA